UGGGGAAUAUUGGUCAAUGGGCGAAAGCCUGAACCAGCAAUGCCGCGUGAGUGAUGAAGGCCUUCGGGUUGUAAAGCUCUGUCGGAAGGAAAGAAAAAAGAGGAGUAACGCCCUCUAUUGACGGUACCUUCAAAGGAAGCACCGGCUAACUCUGUGCCAGCAGCCGCGGUAAUACAGAGGGUGCAAGCGUUGUUCGGAAUUACUGGGCGUAAGGCGCGUGUAGGCGGUUUUGUAAGUCGGACGUGAAAUCCCUUGGCUUAACCAAGGAAUUGCAUUCGAUACUGCUCAACUGGAGUGUCGGAGGGGAUGGCGGAAUUCCUGGUGUAGAGGUGAAAUUCGUAGAUAUCAGGAGGAACACCUGUGGCGAAGGCGGCCAUCUAGAAGACAACUGACGCUGAGACGCGAAAGCGUGGGGAGCAAACAGG
RNAcentral lists this ribosomal RNA (425 nucleotides) under uncultured bacterium. RNAcentral describes it as "bacterial SSU rRNA". It matches the Rfam family "Bacterial small subunit ribosomal RNA", at positions 355 to 776 of the family's 1533-position model. The record is from RNAcentral.